RNAcentral lists this ribosomal RNA (445 nucleotides) under uncultured bacterium. Its description in RNAcentral is "bacterial SSU rRNA". It matches the Rfam family "Bacterial small subunit ribosomal RNA", at positions 354 to 796 of the family's 1533-position model. The record is from RNAcentral.
GUGAGGAAUAUUGGUCAAUGGGCGCAAGCCUGAACCAGCCAUGCCGCGUGAAGGAUGAAUGCCCUAUGGGUUGUAAACUUCUUUUGUACGGGACGAAACCCCUGAACGUGUUCGGGGCUGACGGUACUGUACGAAUAAGCAUCGGCUAACUCCGUGCCAGCAGCCGCGGUAAUACGGAGGAUGCAAGCGUUAUCCGGAUUCAUUGGGUUUAAAGGGUGCGUAGGCGGGAUAAUAAGUCAGCGGUGAAAUCCUACAGCUUAACUGUAGAACUGCCAUUGAUACUGUUAUUCUUGAGUACAUUUGAAGUGGGUGGAAUGUGUGGUGUAGCGGUGAAAUGCUUAGAUAUCACACAGAACGCCAAUUGCGAAGGCAGCUCACUAAGCUGUUACUGACGCUGAGGCACGAAAGCGUGGGGAUCAAACAGGAUUAGAAACCCCAGUAGUCC